GAUUUCUGGUCGGAUCGGUUUAGCCCGCCAUGGUUUCAUGUGUGAGUGCUGAUACUCAUCUACCUUCCUUCUAGACAUCUUAACAUCUCUUCAUUGAGGUGGAUAAGAGGCUAGAUCUUUUACUUUGAAAAAAUUAGAGUGUUUCAAGCAGGCUUUUGCUAUGAAUACAUUAGCAUGGAAUAAUAACUUAGGGCUUCGGCUUUAUUUUGUUGGUUUCUAGAGCUGAAGUAAUGAUUGAUAGGGAUAGUUGGGGGUGCUAGUAUUCAGUGGCCAGAGGUGAAAUUCUCGGAUUCCCUGAAGACUAACUUAUGCGAAAGCAUU
RNAcentral lists this ribosomal RNA (321 nucleotides) under uncultured Bodomorpha. RNAcentral describes it as "SSU rRNA". It matches the Rfam family "Eukaryotic small subunit ribosomal RNA", at positions 633 to 955 of the family's 1831-position model. The record is from RNAcentral. Lineage: Eukaryota; Cercozoa; Glissomonadida.